This 546-nucleotide ribosomal RNA is filed under the name uncultured bacterium. RNAcentral describes it as "bacterial SSU rRNA". It matches the Rfam family "Bacterial small subunit ribosomal RNA", at positions 980 to 1524 of the family's 1533-position model. The record is from RNAcentral.
CUUGACAUCCCGAUGACAUCAGGGUAAUGCCUGGUUCCCUUCGGGGCAUUGGAGACAGGUGGUGCAUGGUUGUCGUCAGCUCGUGUCGUGAGAUGUUGGGUUAAGUCCCGCAACGAGCGCAACCCUUACCUUCAGUAGCCAGCAUUUAAGGUGGGCACUCUGGAGGGACUGCCAGGGACAACCUGGAGGAAGGUGGGGAUGACGUCAAAUCAUCAUGCCCCUUAUGGCCAGGGCUACACACGUGCUACAAUGGCGUAAACAGAGGGAAGCGACCACGCGAGUGUGAGCAAAUCUCAAAAAUAACGUCUCAGUUCGGAUUGUAGUCUGCAACUCGACUACAUGAAGCUGGAAUCGCUAGUAAUCGCGGAUCAGAAUGCCGCGGUGAAUACGUUCCCGGGUCUUGUACACACCGCCCGUCACACCAUGGGAGUUGGAAACGCCCGAAGCCGGUGACCCAACCUAAACAGGAGGGAGCCGUCGAAGGCGGGUCCGAUGACUGGGGUGAAGUCGUAACAAGGUAGCCGUAUCGGAAGGUGCGGCUGGAUC